AAUGAACGUUGGCGGCGUGGAUUAGGCAUGCAAGUCGGUCGUUCCGCAAGGGACGAGGCGCAAGGGUGAGUAAGGCGACGGUAACCAACCCCACAGUUGGGCAUAACCGCGGGAAACUGCGGAUAAUUCCCAGCGACGUCACGAGGUGGCAUCACCUUGUGACCAAAGGUGCGAACCGCUGUGGGACGGGCCGUCGUGGUAUCAGGUAGUUGGCGCGGUAACGGCCCACCAAGCCUGGGACGCCUACCGGGCGUGCGAGCGUGGCCCGGCACACUGGGACUGAGACACUGCCCAGACACCUACGGGUGGCUGCAGUCGAGAAUCUUCGGCAAUGGGCGCCAGCCUGACCGAGCGACGCCGCGCGGAGGACGAAGGCCUUCGGGUUGUAAACUCCUGUCGAGGGGGAACAAGGGUGGUGAAGAGCCACCUUGAGUGAUCCCUGGAGGAAGCACGGGCUAAGUUCGUGCCAGCAGCCGCGGUAAGACGGACCGUGCGAACGUUAUUCGGAAUCACUGGGCUUAAAGCGCGUGUAGGCGGGCCGGCACGUCGAUCGCUGAAAUCCCGCGGCUCAACCGCGGAAGGGGCGUCGAUACGACCGGCCUGGAGGGGGGUAGGGGGAGCCGGAACUUCCGGUGGAGCGGUGAAAUGCGUUGAGAUCGGAAGGAACGCCCGUGGCGAAAGCGAGGUCCUGGACGCCUACUGACGCUGAGACGCGAAAGCCAGGGAGCGAACGGGANUAGAUACCCCGGUAGUCCUGGCCGUAAACGAUGGGCACUGNGUAGGGGCUCGCCGAUNGNUCCCUGCCGCAGGANACCGUGAGUGCCCCGCCUGGGNGUAUGGUCGCAAGGCUGAA
RNAcentral lists this ribosomal RNA (853 nucleotides) under uncultured bacterium. Its description in RNAcentral is "bacterial SSU rRNA". It matches the Rfam family "Bacterial small subunit ribosomal RNA", at positions 28 to 898 of the family's 1533-position model. The record is from RNAcentral.